Molecule: long non-coding RNA, 3032 nt
Organism: Sander lucioperca (pikeperch)
Lineage: Eukaryota; Metazoa; Chordata; Actinopteri; Perciformes; Percidae
Exons: 11
Source: RefSeq, a predicted model, not a curated record
AACCCAGAUGCUAGUACUAGAGGAGGUUUUUUUUUUACACGGAAAUAACCUUCUCCAAAGCUGCAGUUUCCACGCCACAUUAUAAUAUUUUCCUAUAUUGUCACUCAUUUUUUUCCAUGGCACAUUUGCGAAGAUCUGAUCACUGCACGGCAGUGUCUUUAAUCAGGCUCUACGGGCUGUAAAGUGAGAGAAUCUAAACGUGACGUCAAUGCCUAGUAACUGACGCAGCCCUUAAACAAAAAAAAGAGGCAUUUUAUUUAUUAUUUUUUCUUCGUCUCGUCAGCAAAGCCUAAUUUCUAAAUGUUAUAGUACUCCGUCGACUAAAAUAAAAAAGAAAAUCCCUCAGGGAGCGUCAGGUAAUCCGCGUUCAUCAGUAUUUGGACCUGCGUUCAUGAGUUUCAUGCUGAAUUGACCCUGGGACGAGAAGCUUCUGAAGAGGGCGACAAUACAUAAAAUAUUGUCGCUAAUAUUGGCAGCGACGACGAGUUCCAGAUUUUAGUUGUAGAGGGUGAAAGUAGUGUGUUUUAAGGCUGAGAACGGGGUGGUGGGGCUGUUGAAGGCACAUUGGGUUGCUAAAAAAAUCACUGCAAUGAUGCAACGGAGGGGAAUCGGGGCUCUUGUGCAGAGUUGUAGAGGCAAAAUUAAUUUACAUUACAUGCACUUCACGUAAUGUUCCUACGCGAUGCCUUUUGUGAGUGUUUUUCUCUUCCUCAUACUGUGACCUAAAAAUAGCAUCAUAGUUUUGAUCGUGCGCCAGAAAUAGACAGACGGGUAUCACUUGUAUAAAAAGGGAGGCGAUCCUGAGCAAACUUGGACGUGCCACUAACAAGGACGUGCCUGCACCACGGUAUGGCUUUUAUUGGCAUGCUUUACGACCCAUAUUUGACUGUAGAGCCGAAGCAUAGAGCAACCCUUCCCGCAGAGUAGGAAUCACCUCUUUUGGAUAGAACAAUGACGACAAAAGCAAAUAUGGAAAUUAGGUGACUUGUGUGGCCGGGUGGACCCUGCCGCUGCUGUGGGAGCCUCCAGCUGUGCGCCGGAGGAGAAAAGGGGACCCACGUUUUGGAUGUUUUCACCGAUGAACGCAGACGGAAAAAGAGAGAAAGAGAGACUCCGACGGACCUUCCUCCUCCUAUUGUCCUCCUCCUCUUCCUCAUCCCGAGAAAGGACUUGGUGUAUGCAAUCCCACAGCACUGAAGCAACACGUGGUGGCCUGUGGAGUGCGUUCUUACCUUAACUGCAGGACCUCAAUGAUGAUUGUGAGAGGAAAGAAAAUGGAAACUAACAUAGCCGAUGACGCAGAAAGGAACAAUAAAGGUCGGCAGGGAGAGAGGAGGCAGCUGGACGGGCGACCAGAGAGCUUGGAUCAACCAACACCUUUUUUUCCAGCAGCACCACCCGAAACCCCUGGGAGUCAAGCCAGUUUGAGUGGGACACACCCGCACCUCCCUGUCCUCUAGGACCACAGAGAGUCGUCUAAUCCCAGUAUGGGAAGGUAAAAAAAGGAUGUUGCGACAACAGCCACCAUGUAAAGCAGCUGUAACUGGACGUAACAUACACAUGAACACAGAUGCAGCUGCUGUAAUGAUGCUGUGGUUGUCAGAUGAAAUAGGACUAUGGCUGUUGGGCUGCGAGAACACGACCGAGACGUGAAGGUGGACUCUCAAAACGUCCAAUAGCUGUGUGUGUGUGUGUGUGUGUGUGUGUGUGUGUGUGUGUGUGUGUGUGUGUGUGUGUGUUGGACUUAAACAUAGACCUAUGUUGAUUCCUUUUAACUUUUGGAAUAUGAAGGUGAGACUGAUCAGACUGCUCAGACAUCAGGAAACGUUAAAUAUGGUGUUUAGAAUUGUUUAGUUCUUUAAUUCAUGCUUGCAUGUGUGUGUGUGUUAUGAAAGUUUACUGUAUGGUGACACAAUGAGUUUAAAAGGGUUUGUAAUGUCUCUAUGUUUUUUCUUGUUGCAGGUAAAAAAAGGAUGUUGCGACAACAGCCACCAUGUAAAGCAGCUGUAACUGGACAUAACAUACACAUGAACACAGAUGCAGCUGCUGUAAUGAUGCUGUGGUUGUCAGAUGAAAUAGGACUAUGGCUGUUGGGCUGCGAGGACACGACCGAGACGUGAAAGUGGACUCUCAAAACGUCCAAUAGCAGUGUGUGUGUGUGUGUGUGUGUGUGUGUGUGUGUGUGUGUGUGUGUGUGUGUGUGUGUGUGUGUGUGUGUGUGUGUGUGUGUGUGUGUGUGCGCUUUAUGUGUGAAAUUUAAUUAUAUUUAAUGCUAUCAGUUUAAACACACUUUGAGGCUACUCUCUUACAAAACCGAUGUCGUUUUGAUGACUGUUACACUACACUUAAAUGCUGUUUUUAAUAUGGAAAUUGUUGGCAAAUAUUUGUGUGAAAAACAUAGGUCCAUGUUAGAGUCUGUUACUUCAUAAAUGUUUAUUAACUUGAAGAUCAGUUUAUAAUACUGACUGUGCAAUGAUGUCAGAGUAUAAAAUCGGUGCUGUAAAAGUAUUUUUGUAAAGAUUAUUUUGUGAAAGAUGACAUUUUGUAAACAUAUUUUACCCUGUACCUGGCCAGAAAUGCAUUUAAUUUCACCCCGUUUGAUAAUUGUUACACAACGUGCUGCUCCUUCCUCUCGGUGUCACGUUGACUUCGAUCCCUUCACUUGUGUCAAAGAAUGCGAGCAGCUGCACGAUGACUGUCAGCAUGUAGAAACAUUUUUAUACUCUUGUUCCUCUGCUGAGUACAUGUCAGGCUUUGCUUUGUGCCACAGAGCCUCGGUGUGUCAGAAUCUCAUGUUUAGUUUGGGUGUGAGAGAAACAUGGAGCAUGGCGGCAGAGGGGGUGAGUUGGAGACUAAAAAAAUGCUGUUGCAAAUAGGCUUUCUGGGUCGGAGUGGGGAACAGAAAUCACAUACUGCUGAGAAAAUCGGGACAGCUGGUUGUGCUGAAACAUCCAGCGUCUGUAAACAUGUCUGACUUAUUCAUGUGCAUGGAAAUGUUAAAAAGACGAUGGAAAUAAAGCGAUGGAAAUUCA